This 420-nucleotide ribosomal RNA is filed under the name uncultured bacterium. Its description in RNAcentral is "bacterial SSU rRNA". It matches the Rfam family "Bacterial small subunit ribosomal RNA", at positions 356 to 773 of the family's 1533-position model. The record is from RNAcentral.
AAGGAAUAUUGGUCAAUGGGCGAAAGCCUGAACCAGCCAUUCCGCGUGCAGGAUGACUGCCCUAUGGGUUGUAAACUGCUUUUAACUGGGAAGAAACCCCUGAACUUGUUCGGGGCUGACGGUACCAGAGGAAUAAGCACCGGCUAACUCCGUGCCAGCAGCCGCGGUAAUACGGAGGGUGCAAGCGUUAUCCGGAAUCACUGGGUUUAAAGGGUGCGUAGGCGGCUUAGUAAGUCAGAGGUGAAAGUUCUGGGCUUAACCGAGGAAUUGCCUUUGAUACUGCUGAGCUUGAAGGGAGAUGAGGCAGGCGGAAUGUGACAUGUAGCGGUGAAAUGCAUAGAUAUGUCAUAGAACACCAAUUGCGAAGGCAGCUUGCUGGUCUUCUCUUGACGCUGAGGCACGAAAGCGUGGGGAGCGAAC